This 490-nucleotide ribosomal RNA is filed under the name uncultured eukaryote. Its description in RNAcentral is "bacterial SSU rRNA". It matches the Rfam family "Eukaryotic small subunit ribosomal RNA", at positions 9 to 534 of the family's 1831-position model. The record is from RNAcentral.
UGAUCCUGCCAGUAGUCAUAUGCUUGUCUCGCAGAUUAAGCCAUGCAUGUCUAAGUGUAAAUAUUAUACAGUGAAACUGCGAAUGGCUCAUUAAAACAGUUAUUGUUUGGUUGGAAAAUAAUCCAUCGGAUAUCCGUGGAAAUCCUACAGUUAAUACGUACAAUCUUCUUCGGAAGAGUUGCAUAUUAAAUUGAAUAAGUAGUGGUUAAGCACUAAAAUUGAAUACUUGUAUGCACAGAUCGUUAUGAAACGAAACUCCAUCAAAGUUUCUGACCUAUCAGGUUCCGACGGUUGGGUAUUGGCCAACCGUGCCUAUAACGGGUAACGGGGGAUUAGGGUUUGAUUCCGGAGAGGGAGCUUGAGAUAUAGCUACCACAUUUAAGGAAGGCAGCAGGCGCGCAAAUUACCAAUCCUCGACACGGGGAGGUAGUAAACAGAAAUACUAACGAUCGAUAUUCGUUCGAUUAGAAUGAGUGGUACUUAAAACACA